AGAAGUCGUAACAAGGUUUCCGUAGGUGAACCUGCGGAGGAUCAUUG
RNAcentral lists this ribosomal RNA (47 nucleotides) under Goodenia claytoniacea. RNAcentral's name for it is "partial 18S small subunit ribosomal RNA". It matches the Rfam family "Eukaryotic small subunit ribosomal RNA", at positions 1784 to 1831 of the family's 1831-position model. The record is from RNAcentral. Lineage: Eukaryota; Viridiplantae; Streptophyta; Magnoliopsida; Asterales; Goodeniaceae.